CCCUUAGAUGUUCUGGGCCGCACGCGCGCUACACUGAUGCAUUCAACGAGUCUAAAACCUGCUCUGAUAGGGGUGGGUAAUCUUUUGAAUGUGCAUCGUGAUUGGGAUAGAUGAUUGCAAUUUUUCAUCUUCAACGAGGAAUGCCUAGUAAACGCAAGUCAUCAGCUCGCAUUGAUUACGUCCCUGCCCUUUGUACACACCGCCCGUCGCUCCUACCGAUUGAAUGAUCCGAUGAAUAUCAUGGAUUGAGGAUUAUAGCAGGUUCGCCUGUCUUGAUCUUCGAGAAGUGAAGUAAAUCUUAUCAUUUAGAGGAAGGAGAAGUCGUAACA
Molecule: ribosomal RNA, 329 nt
Filed under: uncultured eukaryote
Lineage: Eukaryota
Description: partial 18S ribosomal RNA
Rfam family: Eukaryotic small subunit ribosomal RNA
Source: RNAcentral